This 227-nucleotide ribosomal RNA is filed under the name uncultured bacterium. RNAcentral's name for it is "partial 16S ribosomal RNA". It matches the Rfam family "Bacterial small subunit ribosomal RNA", at positions 383 to 607 of the family's 1533-position model. The record is from RNAcentral.
CUGAACCAGCCAAGUAGCGUGAAGGAUGACUGCCCUAUGGGUUGUAAACUUCUUUUAUACGGGAAUAGAGUGAGGCACGUGUGCCUUUUUGUAUGUACCGUAUGAAUAAGGAUUGGCUAACUCCGUGCCAGCAGCCGCGGUAAUACGGAGGAUCCGAGCGUUAUCCGGAUUUAUUGGGUUUAAAGGGAGCGUAGGCGGACGCUUAAGUCAGUUGUGAAAGUUUGCGG